This 70-nucleotide transfer RNA is filed under the name Dipodomys ordii (Ord's kangaroo rat). It matches the Rfam family "tRNA". Rfam says of the family: Transfer RNA (tRNA) molecules are approximately 80 nucleotides in length. Their secondary structure includes four short double-helical elements and three loops (D, anti-codon, and T loops). The record is from Rfam by way of RNAcentral. Lineage: Eukaryota; Metazoa; Chordata; Mammalia; Rodentia; Heteromyidae.
GGGAAAGUGGCUCAGUGGUAGAGCACUUGCCUUGCAUGCAAGAGGCCCUGGGUUCGAUUCUUCAACACCA